AACGUAGGACGCAAGCGUUAUCCGGAGUUACUGGGCGUAAAGGGCGGGCAGGCGGCCAGGUAGGUCCGCUGUGAAAACUCGAGGCUUAACCUCGAGCUGUCGGCGGAAACCAUCUGGCUAGAGUCCGGAAGAGGAGAAUGGAAUUCCCGGUGUAGCGGUGAAAUGCGUAGAUAUCAAGAGGAACACCAGUGGCGAAGGCGAGUCCCUGGACAACACCUGACACUGAGGCACGAAAGCUAGGGGAGCAAACAGG
RNAcentral lists this ribosomal RNA (253 nucleotides) under uncultured bacterium. RNAcentral's name for it is "partial 16S ribosomal RNA". It matches the Rfam family "Bacterial small subunit ribosomal RNA", at positions 524 to 776 of the family's 1533-position model. The record is from RNAcentral.